UACUAGAGUAGCACUCGCAUAUCAAUAAGCGGAGGAAAAGAAACUAACAAGGAUUCCCCUAGUAACGGCGAGUGAAGCGGGAAGAGCUCAAAUUUGAAAUCUUAAAGGGUUUCCCUUUACGAACUGUAGUUUAAAGAAGUGUUUUCUGAUGAGGUUUUGGUAAAAGUUCUUUGGAAUAGGACAUCAUAGAGGGUGAGAAUCCCGUAUUUGACCUUUACUUUCAACUUUGUGAUACACUUUCAAAGAGUCGGAUUGUUUGGGAAUGCAGUCCAAAAUGGGUGGUAAAUUUCAUCUAAAGCUAAAUAUUGGCGAGAGACCGAUAGCGAACAAGUACCGUGAGGGAAAGAUGAAAAGAACUUUGAAAAGAGAGUUAAACAGUACGUGAAAUUGUCAAAAGGGAAGCGUUUGACACCAGUGUCGUUUUUCUGAAAAUCAAUUAAAGAACUGUUUAUGCUAAGUUGUUUAGACUUUAUCAGCUAUCUGUUUAGUUUUGAGCUUUUCUUUAAUGCACUUUUCAGUUAACAAGUCAACAUCAAUUUCUUUUGCUGUAAAAAAGCUUGAGGAAGGUGGCUUGAGAUUCGUCUUAAGUGUUUAUAGCCUCUUGCCUAUGCAGUCGGAGAGAUUGAGGUCUGCAGCGUAGAUCCUUCGGGGCUAAAUGCAUUUGUGCUAAGUUAUAGCAUUUUAUAGACAACUUGUUGACUAUGAUUUGUCUUGUAGCUUACUCGCUUAUGUUAUUUUACCUACGCUUAGGAUGUUGAUAUCGCGCUCUCACUG
This 774-nucleotide ribosomal RNA is filed under the name uncultured Neocallimastigales. RNAcentral describes it as "partial large subunit ribosomal RNA". It matches the Rfam family "Eukaryotic large subunit ribosomal RNA", at positions 20 to 621 of the family's 3401-position model. The record is from RNAcentral. Lineage: Eukaryota; Fungi; Neocallimastigomycota; Neocallimastigomycetes; Neocallimastigales.